UGAGGAAUAUUGGUCAAUGGGCGGGAGCCUGAACCAGCCAAGUCGCGUGAAGGAAGAAGGAUCUAUGGUUUGUAAACUUCUUUUGCAGGGGAAUAAAGUGCAGGACGUGUCCUGUUUUGUAUGUACCCUGAGAAUAAGGAUCGGCUAACUCCGUGCCAGCAGCCGCGGUAAUACGGAGGAUCCGAGCGUUAUCCGGAUUUAUUGGGUUUAAAGGGUGCGUAGGUGGUUUGAUAAGUCAGGGGUGAAAGUUUGCAGCUUAACUGUAAAAAUGCCGUUGAAACUGUCGGACUUGAGUGUAAAUGAGGUAGGCGGAAUGCGUGGUGUAGCGGUGAAAUGCAUAGAUAUCACGCAGAACUCCGAUUGCGAAGGCAGCUUACUAAGCUACAACUGACACUGAAGCACGAAAGCGUGGGGAUCAAACA
This 422-nucleotide ribosomal RNA is filed under the name uncultured bacterium. RNAcentral describes it as "bacterial SSU rRNA". It matches the Rfam family "Bacterial small subunit ribosomal RNA", at positions 355 to 774 of the family's 1533-position model. The record is from RNAcentral.